Molecule: long non-coding RNA, 1978 nt
Filed under: Stylophora pistillata
Lineage: Eukaryota; Metazoa; Cnidaria; Anthozoa; Scleractinia; Pocilloporidae
Description: uncharacterized LOC111335519
Source: RNAcentral
AACAUAGCCAGUUUUUAGGAGUAGAACAUUUUCUGCAUCAGACAAAUAAUGUCGCGUUUACUUUAUCAAACAUUGAAGGCAAACUGAAAGUGAAUUCGAAACUGCAUCAGUGCAUAUCGUACGUCGAUAUUGUAGCCUCGCGUGCAUUAUUUGCAUGAAACCCUUAAAGAACUUUAAAGGUAAUUUUGUUUUCAGAGUCUAGGUUUAAUAUGCCGUCAGUUAUUCUUAACAUUCGUUGUCAUUGGGAAUGGAAACUCUUAAUUUAAGGACGAGACUGAUUUUGUCUUUUCGUCUUCUUUAGUUACAUGCUGCUACAACUUCCGCAGUCAGAGUUAUCGGGGUCGUGCGGUGAGAGAAACAGAGAGCGAAUUACCAUGGCGUUUAGGAGUGUAACUCACAAGCUGUUUGCGAUCGCCUCGUUAGCUUGUUUGUAAUAGGUAUUUGGCGAAAGUUGUUUACUACAGUUUCUCCUUGUAAGGCACAGAGAAUAGCUUUUGGUCCGAAUUCCAAGAACACAGUCGCACACUCUGCACAAUGGCCGAACUGUUUACUUUGUCUGCUCGGUAUUCUGCUUUCUUUUGUUUUGUAAGACACACUGACGACGGAAGUUGUUGUUUCUAUUCCAGAGUGGCUGUUGUAGAGAGGCACACUAAGAAAUCAAACUCAUGGGGCACAACCCCAGUCCAAUGCACAGAAUAUGUGGCAGAUAACCUUCUGAUUUAAAGAAAGAGGAUGCGAACACGGACAUGAAUCAGUCUACAAUGUUUAGUGUUGUAAAUUGUGUAAAACUCAAUUUUGGAACAUUUUAACAAAAUACGUAGUUGACUUUAGAUCAAACCGUUUAAGAACUCGAGUAAUCUAUAAUCCUGUUAAGCUAAGAAUGAACACUGGAUGGUUCUAUUAUAUUAGUUUCAAUGUCAGAGUAAGUCAAACUUGAAAUUUGCAUAAGGGUUUCUUGGCGUGUGAAGUCUUAGUCAGGUAACUUAAGGGCUCUUCAGACUUUUGGGAGUAUUAGACAAUGCAAUUGUUUACGCUCAACAGCGCGUAAACUAAGUUACUACUCUACUGUGACCAGAAGAUCACAUCAUGUUCUGUUGUUAUGAAUAGCAUACUACGUUGCUCUCUCAUCGAGUUCAUCAACUCACAUAUAGGGGUCAGCUCACUAACCUAUCGAGUUUCAAUGACGCCUCCAACUUUAGUUCCAGUCAGAAAGUACUCUAGCUGAAUAGUGAUCGAUCAGUUAUGACACCGCAGCCUAACCACUUUGCCGCAUCUUUAUAACUCCCCUCUGUAGUGCUUCAAGUCAUCAACAAAUAUCGGGGCCUGUUAGCUAAGAUAUCGAGUCUCAAAAAAAAACUUUAAACUUGGUUUCCAGACAGAAUGAACCCUAGCGAAAUGAUGACUGACCAAUGAAAACACUAAGAUCCUGUCCUACGUAUUGAGUAUGUGGGAAAGAUAUAGCUACCCCAGUUACUGAAUCUCCCGCCGUUCGGCUGAAGCUUGAGUCGCGUUGCUUACUAGCAAAGGUUGGUCAUAUUACUACAGGCAUAUUUUAGCUUCCCUUUUUUCAACGUUAUACCCCUGAGUUCAAAAUUUUCAUUUGGCGGGGAGUGCAGUUUACCAAUUUGAACUGUAAAGGAAACGUUCGUUGUUUAUUAUGAUAGGCCUCCGUUUACGUUCCAACAGCGCAUAUCAUCAGAUACCAAGUACUCAGGAAGCACUCUAGAGUGAGUCUAGUUUCUUGAGUGCUUUUUGAGUACUUCAGUUGGUUAUUUCAAAAGCUAGGUACUAAGGUUGAUUGUGGCGAAGAACGGGACAAAUUACUGUCUGUGCAUAUAUGUCUUUACUAUUACGGGAUGCCAACGUAAACUUCAUGCUAUUGAUGGUAGGCUUUUUUCUCUUGGUGAAGUGUCACUGAAAAUGCCAUCGGUAAUAGGAGAACGGUAACAUUAGCAUAAAACAAAGUUUCUUUGUUGGA